GACAGAGGUGCCGAGCGUUAGGCGGAAUCACUGGGCUUAAAGCGUGUGUAGGCGGGCGGGCAAGUACCUUGUGAAAUCCCACGGCUCAACCGUGGAACUGCUGGGUAUACUGCCUGUCUUGAGCCAGCCAGGGGCAGUCGGAACAGACGGUGGAGCGGUGAAAUGCGUAGAUAUCGUCUGGAACGCCAAAGGUGAAAACAGACUGCUGGGGCUGUGCUGACGCUGAGACACGAAAGCCAGGGGAGCGAACGGG
Molecule: ribosomal RNA, 253 nt
Filed under: uncultured bacterium
Lineage: Bacteria
Also listed under: 1 other name
Description: partial 16S ribosomal RNA
Rfam family: Bacterial small subunit ribosomal RNA
Source: RNAcentral